CAUGGUGUAGCUUAAACAUGCAAAGCAUCUGGCCUACACCCAGAAGAUUUCACAACUAAUGAACGCCAUGA
This 71-nucleotide transfer RNA is filed under the name Caryomys eva. RNAcentral describes it as "Eothenomys eva tRNA-Val". It matches the Rfam family "tRNA". From Rfam's summary of the family: Transfer RNA (tRNA) molecules are approximately 80 nucleotides in length. Their secondary structure includes four short double-helical elements and three loops (D, anti-codon, and T loops). Lineage: Eukaryota; Metazoa; Chordata; Mammalia; Rodentia; Cricetidae. The record is from RNAcentral.